Long non-coding RNA from Erpetoichthys calabaricus (reedfish), 1315 nucleotides. RefSeq lists it as uncharacterized. Lineage: Eukaryota; Metazoa; Chordata; Cladistia; Polypteriformes; Polypteridae. The transcript has 2 exons. The record is from RefSeq and is a predicted model, not a curated record.
CGACUUAAUCAGUUUUAACACGAAAAGAUGUCGACGAAAGAAGAGAAGAAGCAGGCCGCUAGGGAGGAGAACAGAAGAGCUGCUCAGGAAGCAGCAAGCGCAUCAACCUCUGAGCAAACAACAACAACAUUUAUUUCUAUAGCACAUUUUUGUACAAACAAUGUAGCUCAAAGUGCUUUACAUGAUGAAGAAAGAGGAAAAAAGACCAAAUAAGAAUUAAAAUUAGGGAACACUAAUUAGCAUAAAAUAAAAGUAAGGUCCAAUGGUCAGGGAGGACAAAAAAAACUCCACAUGGCUGGAGAAAAAAAUAAAAUCUGCAGGGGUUCCAGGCCACGAGACCACCCAGCCCCCUCUAGGCAUUCUACCUAACAUAAAUGACCUCAAUCAGUCCUCAUUGUAUUCAGGGUUCUCAUGGAAGGACUUGAUGAUGACGGUCACGUGGACUUCUGGCCUUUAAUCCAUCAAUGUAAGGACGUCACAGUGCUUUGAUUAGGUGGUGGUGGUGCAGGUCGCCACCACAGAAAACUGGAAAAAGAACAGAAGAGAGAGUAGGGGUUAGUACGGAUUUUAGAGCCACCAUGAAUAGUUAUAAUUAAUUGAAUAUGCAGAGCAUCAGGAUUCAACUAAGAUGAAGCUAUGAGAAAGCCAUGUUAAAGUAAUGAGUUUUUAGCAGUUUUUUAAAGUGCUCCACCGUAUCAGCCUGGCGAAUUCCUAUUGGCAGGCUAUUCCAGAUUUUAGGUGCAUAACAGCAGAAGGCCACCUCACCACUUCUUUUAAGUUUAGCUCUUGGAAUUCUAAGGAGACACUCAUUUGAAGAUCUAAGGUUACAAUUUAGAAUAUAAGGUGUCAGACAUUCUGAUAUAUAACAUGGAGCAGAUUAUUUAAGGCUUUGUAAACCAUAAGCAGUAUUUUAAAGUCAAUUCUGAAUGACACAGGUAACCAGUGUAGUGACAUCAAAACUGGAGAAAUGUGCUCGGAUUUUCUUUUCCUAGUUAAGAUUCUAGCAGCUGCAUUCUGCACUCGUUGCAAUCGAUUGAUGUCGUUUUUGGGUGGUCCUGAGAGGAGACCGUUACAAUAAUCUAGUCGACUGAAAACAAAAGUGUGAACUAAUUUCUCAGCAUCUUUCAAUGAUAUAAGAGGUCUAACGUUUGCUAUGUUUCUUAAGUGAAAAAAUGCUGUCCUAGUGGUCUGAUGAAUAUGCGAUUUAAAAUUCAGGUUACAGUCAACAGUUACCCCUAAAUUCUUUACCUCUGUCUUGACUUUUAAUCCUAAUGCAUCAAGUUUAUUUCUAAUAACCUCAUUAAAUCCAUUAUUG